RNAcentral lists this ribosomal RNA (460 nucleotides) under uncultured bacterium. Its description in RNAcentral is "partial 16S ribosomal RNA". It matches the Rfam family "Bacterial small subunit ribosomal RNA", at positions 338 to 795 of the family's 1533-position model. The record is from RNAcentral.
CCUACGGGAGGCAGCAGUGAGGAAUAUUGGUCAAUGGGCGGGAGCCUGAACCAGCCAAGUCGCGUGAGGGAAGACGGUCCUAUGGAUUGUAAACCUCUUUAGGCGGGGAGCAAUGCCGGGCACGCGUGCCCGGAGGGAGAGUACCCGCAGAAUAAGCAUCGGCUAACUCCGUGCCAGCAGCCGCGGUAAUACGGAGGAUGCGAGCGGUAUCCGGAGUUAUUGGGGUAAAAGGGUGCGUAGGCGGAUUUUUUAGUCAUCGGUAAAAUGUCCGGGCUCAACCCGGGCCGGCCGUUGCAACUGGGGAUCUUGAGUGGGCGAGAAGUAUGCGGAAUGCGUGGUGUAGCGGUGAAAUGCAUAGAUAUCACGCAGAACUCCGAUUGCGAAGGCAGCAUACCGGCGCCCGACUGACGCUGAGGCACGAAAGCGUGGGGAUCGAACAGGAUUAGAUACCCCUGUAGUC